RNAcentral lists this ribosomal RNA (110 nucleotides) under Candidatus Saccharimonadota bacterium. Lineage: Bacteria; Candidatus Saccharimonadota. The record is from RNAcentral.
AUUGGUGCCCAUAGCGCUGGGGAAAUACCUGUUUACAUUCCGAACACAGAAGUCAAGCCCAGUAGCGGCGAUUAUACUGCAGUAUGCGGGAAACUAGCAAGGUGCCAAGU